RNAcentral lists this long non-coding RNA (1606 nucleotides) under Drosophila guanche. The record is from RNAcentral. Lineage: Eukaryota; Metazoa; Arthropoda; Insecta; Diptera; Drosophilidae.
CCUGUUCCUCCUGAAGGCGUAUGAUCUGACCGGCAGAAGCUCAUGCCUUGCAAUAUGUUCGUCCAGCUUUAACUUUAUCAGCCCCUCUAUAGACUUAAACAGGGUGUUUAUUAAGCAAAUGGGUCUGUAGUUUUGGAAGGAAGCGGGGUCCGCAUUCUUCUUGGGGAUUGGUACCACCUUGAUUCUACGCCAGACCUCUGGGAUGUUGCCACUGAGCCAUACCCUGUUUAUAAUUUCAAAGAUGUUAUGCUUUUUCGCCACAGGAAGUUGCUGCAGCAUCCUGAACGAAAUGCCAUCUGGGCCUCUCGCCGAAUUUGGGUUCCUGGAUUUCAGGAAGGACAGAAAUUCCCCCAUGUCCAAAGGUUCGGGGUCGCCUGGUCCAAUCAGAUUUGGAAUGAUCUCUGGGGGUCUACUGCUUGCAGUCGAGGGGAUGUCUUUGACCAUUUUUAGGAAGCCAUUGUCGUUUUCGUCUGUCCAUGUGUUCCCUACGUUUUUGACUUGUCCGUAUUUCUUAAGGUUCUUUACUCUGCUCCACAUGGAGGGCGAAGAGGAAACCUCUUCUAGGAACUUUGAGAAGUUUGACCUUCUGCAUUUUUUAAUCUCAUUUUGCAGGUUGCGGUCGGCCUCUAUGGUGGCCCUGGCAUCAUCAAAUUUUUUGGUGUAAUAGUAUUUUUGCCUGCACGCAUUUCUCACGCGAAACAGUCUCUCUAUACCCUCGUUCCACCAUUUUUUGGCAAUAUACUUGUUGUUGCUAGGAAUGGUAACUGUGUUCUUACUGGUCAGGGAUUUGACCUUAUCGUUGAGCUCUUGUAGAUUGGUAAAACUGCUUGCUCCUAAAAUACGAUUUAUUCUAUUGUGCAGCACUUUCUUCUCUUGAAUGGAGGCAUCUAACCCUUCGACUGUUAUGACGAUUGGGAAGUGGUUGCUGUUGGUUAUCUUGGAUUUAAGGGCUUGCCAGUCGAUUCUACCGACCCUGUGAUUAGAAAAGGUGAGGUCAAGAACAGAGGAUUGGGAAGGGUUCCUGGAAAACGUUGGAGAUCCGUCGUUAAGACAGAUAAAACCCGCCUCACGAGUAGCAUUCUCGAUGCUGCGACCCUUGCGGUCACUGGAAGGGUUUCCCCAGAUGGAAGACUUGGCGUUGAAAUCGCCUCCUACGACUGAAGGGUAGUCUAGGGACUCCGCAAGCUCGAACACCUUUUUAAUGCCCGAUUUGAAUUGGGAAAGUGUCGUUGAAGGCGCAGCGUAUGCGCUGAAAAUGUUAAGGUUGCUUUUGAGGUUCAGGGUUUUAAUACCUACGAUCUCUAGAUCACAGUCUAUUUUCAGAAUGCUAAAUCUAAUUUUCUUUCUAAUAUAGAUUCCUACUCCGCCGUAGCCGUCUUCUCUGGGCUUGCCGAUGAAGUUGUAAUCUAAGAUACUGCAGUCGGCAUUAUUUACAACCCAGAUCUCCGAAAGGAUUGCAAUGUCUAUUUCGUUGUUUAUUAGAAACAUAUUGAGGAGCUGUUUGUUGUUGUUGUAAGUCAGACUUUGAAUGUUCCGCUUCCACCCCUUGCACAAUUUGCAAACGGUCGAGUUCAGCAUUGGAGGAGCUAACAUACUCCAAGAUCUG